This 1504-nucleotide ribosomal RNA is filed under the name Prevotella sp. oral clone FX046. RNAcentral's name for it is "bacterial SSU rRNA". It matches the Rfam family "Bacterial small subunit ribosomal RNA". Lineage: Bacteria; Pseudomonadati; Bacteroidota; Bacteroidia; Bacteroidales; Prevotellaceae. The record is from RNAcentral.
GAGUUUGAUCCUGGCUCAGGAUGAACGCUAGCUACAGGCUUAACACAUGCAAGUCGAGGGGCAGCAUAAAGAUUGCUUGCAAUUUUUGAUGGCGACCGGCGCACGGGUGAGUAACGCGUAUCCAACCUACCUAUGACAUAGGGAUAAUCCGGCGAAAGUCGGCCUAAUACCUUAUAUAGUUUAUCGUUGGCAUCUUCUAUGAACAAAAGAUUUAUCGGUUAUAGAUGGGGAUGCGUCUGRKUGGGUUGUUGGCGGGGUAACGGCCCACCAAGGCAUCGAUCAGUAGGGGUUCUGAGAGGAAGGUCCCCCACAUUGGAACUGAGACACGGUCCAAACUCCUACGGGAGGCAGCAGUGAGGAAUAUUGGUCAAUGGGCGUAAGCCUGAACCAGCCAAGUAGCGUGCAGGACGACUGCCCUAUGGGUUGUAAACUGCUUUUAUGCGGGGAUAAAUGAUAUCACGUGUGAUGUUUUGCAGGUACCGCAUGAAUAAGGACCGGCUAAUUCCGUGCCAGCAGCCGCGGUAAUACGGAAGGUCCUAGCGUUAUCCGGAUUUAUUGGGUUUAAAGGGAGCGUAGGCCGUUUUAUAAGCGUGUUGUGAAAUGUACGGGCUCAACCUGUGAUUUGCAGCGCGAACUGUAUGACUUGAGUACGUUGGAAGUAGGCGGAAUUCGUGGUGUAGCGGUGAAAUGCUUAGAUAUCACGAAGAACUCCGAUUGCGAAGGCAGCCUACUGUGUCGUAACUGACGCUGANGCUCGAAAGUGCGGGUAUCGAACAGGAUUAGAUACCCUGGUAGUCCGCACGGUAAACGAUGGAUGCUCGCUGUCCGGUCUUUUGGCUGGGUGGCCCAGCGAAAGCGUUAAGCAUCCCACCUGGGGAGUACGCCGGCAACGGUGAAACUCAAAGGAAUUGACGGGGGCCCGCACAAGCGGAGGAACAUGUGGUUUAAUUCGAUGAUACGCGAGGAACCUUACCCGGGCUUGAAUUGCAGAGGAAAGAUCCAGAGAUGGUGAUGCCCUUCGGGGCCUCUGUGAAGGUGCUGCAUGGUUGUCGUCAGCUCGUGCCGUGAGGUGUCGGCUUAAGUGCCAUAACGAGCGCAACCCCUUUUCUUAGUUGCCAUCAGUAUUAGCUGGGCACUCUGAGAAUACUGCCACCGUAAGGUGUGAGGAAGGUGGGGAUGACGUCAAAUCAGCACGGCCCUUACGUCCGGGGCUACACACGUGUUACAAUGGCGCAUACAGAGAGUCGGUGUUAUGCAAAUAUCAUCUAAUCUUCAAAUUGCGUCUCAGUUCGGACUGGGGUCUGCAACUCGACCCCACGAAGCUGGAUUCGCUAGUAAUCGCGCAUCAGCCAUGGCGCGGUGAAUACGUUCCCGGGCCUUGUACACACCGCCCGUCAAGCCAUGAAAGCUGGGGGUGCCUGAAGUCCGUGACCGCGAGGAUCGGCCUAGGGCAAAACCGGUGAUUGGGGCUAAGUCGUAACAAGGUAGCCGUACCGGAAGGUGC